Molecule: long non-coding RNA, 1265 nt
Filed under: Nicotiana benthamiana
Lineage: Eukaryota; Viridiplantae; Streptophyta; Magnoliopsida; Solanales; Solanaceae
Description: long non-coding RNA (NBEN_LNC034846)
Source: RNAcentral
UUUUGUCUCUUUUAGAUUUGCAAGUUCCUAAAUCUCAUUGUUUUUUUUUUGUUUUUCUAUAUUAAGAAAAUCAAAUUAUUGACAACCCUUUGAAAUUGAGAUUGCUUUUUUACUUUACUAUUUAUUCUUUAGUCUGUUCCAUUUAAACAUUUUACUAACUUUUUAAUGUGCCACUUAAACAUUAAAAUCUUACGAGGCACUUCGCAUGCGAAUCACAUAUAAUGAAAGCGUGAACAUACAAACAUAAUCUGACUGGAUUAUUUCAACGAUAAAAAUUCAAAGCCCUAUGUUAUAUUAACCCUUUUUUCCCUUUCCUCUUCUUCAAUCCAAAUUUCCCUAUCAAAAUUGAAUUUUUUUCCUCCAAUUUGAAAGAUCCACGUCCUCCUUCUUCGAUUUCAGUUGAAGUUAUUUUUACAUCUUCUCUCUCUCAGAUUGUUGUUUGACAACAAAAACUACCCAGUAUAGUCCCACAAAGUGGGUCUGGGGAGGGUAAUAUGUAGAUGGGUCUUACCCCUACCCGAAAGAGCAGAGAGGCUGUUUCCAAUCGAUCCUCGGCUCAGUGAAGGAAAGGAACAACAGAUUGUUUCUUGACAAUGUCUGUAAAUUUAGAUAGGACUGAUUCAUGCCGAUGUGGUCGGGCAUGUGUUUUGAAAAUCUCAUAGGGUUCGACAAACCUAGGCGGGAGGUAUUUUGUAUGCAAAAAUAGUGUAGUAAGUAUAUUUUUCGAUAAUCUUUUUUUCUUUCUUUGAUCUUAAUAUUUGUAUGAAUUUGCAAUUUUUUACAUUGAUUUAGUUGGAUAUGUUUAAAGGACAAAUAAGGAUGUAACUACUUUAGAUGGUUUGAGGAGGCAUUUUCUGACCGAACAAAUAAAGUGAUUUGGAUUUUAUUGAAGAGAGUCAAGGCCUUUGAUCAAGAAAGGGAAUGAAGGGAACGAGCUAGACAUUGGAGAAAUAAGUUAUUGUUUGUUGUUAUACUACUUGUCGUAAUUUUUGGCUGUGAUGUUAUUCUUGCAUUGUUGAUGCCAACAAAAUUCAAAAGUGAUUGAAGGUGGUUGAUAGUGUAAAAGUGGAAUAGUUACUAGUGUUCUUUGACUUUGAGAAUUUUUUUUAUAGUUGCUGCCUUUUGUUGUUUAGACGUUGUCUGUGUAAUUUAUGUAAUAAGUUGUUCUAGGAUGUUUACAACAUAUUUAGUUGUUGAUGUAAUUUACAAUGUUUGAUUAAUAUUUUGGUUGAAUUGGUUCUAAGAAACAGUUGUUGGAAUUCUCA